CAUAAUGGGUAGAACAUUAACUGCAGGAGAGAAGGGAACAACAUAUAGACACAUCCACCCAGGAUCCUGAUCAAUACUGAGUGGGAAUAGAGGCUUUUAAAUGAUGAGGAUAGUAUUUGGGAUCUAAAGAUCAUGUUCAUCAACAAAACGGUCAUUGCAGAUGAGUUAUAUUGUUAAGCUAUACACAGAACAAUUACCAUUGGAGCACUUUGCAAAAAGAAUAAGAUGAUGAAGAUGACCAAGAAGAAGACCCUCCCUGUAUGUGCAUGCAGGCUGGAUUAGAACGGUGUGCUCACCCAGAGGACUAGUUAAGUGAAAUCCAGACAGGACGUGAUACACAUCUGGCCUAAGUUGCAGGGAAAAAAAAUGCAGGAGUGACUUGAGACUAUUUAGAAAGUAGUAUUGACAAGGCUUGGUGACCAAUUUGGAAGCAGGGAGCAUUCUUCAAAUGACAAAUGUGUUCGGAAUUUACACAUAGAUUCUCAGCCCUAACCAGUUAUAAACUUCCAGAAGAAGGAAGAACGAAACCUCUACAAUAAAGAGCUCCAGUCCACAAAGAAUUAUUCCUCUUUAAGAAAGACAGUAACAAGGGAGGAAUCUUGCAACCUGGAGAUCAGCCACGAAGGAUGUCUCCCCACUUGUGACAAGACCAACAUCCUAUGAUAUAUACUGACCUAACGUAUUGGCUAAGAUCCAUUUGGAUUGAUGACUAUGUUUCAUGUGUUGUCAGACACUUUGAUCACUCCUACUGUUUUACUAAUGGACAAGCCAACUGAUCUAUUUUAUUGGUGUGAGAACACUAUGCAAGAUACUUAUGUUCUGUUUCCUUAGUUACUCAUUAGAAAAUAGGUUUUUGAACAUCUCUCAAUCCUUGAGAUUAAAGGAAGUUGAGAUCCCAUAAUCACAGAAGGAUAAGAUUUACUCAAGGUAUUGAAUGCCCACAGAAAAAGAGGAAAGUUGAGAAACACUUUGGGCAGGGUGGUAGUGUUUAUUGGUUUAUUUAGUGGUUAUUGGAAGAGAAGGCAGGUAUAGCUCUUCUGGAACCAGCCUGGACCUCAAACUAUCCAUCUCAUUUGUUUUCAGCCUUAUGUCACCUUGUGUACUGGUGCAAAUUGUUCCCAUUGUUGGAAUCUUGUGAUCAUGUGUAUGGUAUGACAGCCUCUCUGUAGCAAGUGGCAAGAGGGGUUAUAGACAGAUUUGUCCCACUGACUACCAAUAUAGUGAAAUACAAUAAAAAAAAAAAGUAAUUCUGUAUAUACCAAAAGGAAAGUACUGGGACUUU
Molecule: long non-coding RNA, 1282 nt
Organism: Canis lupus familiaris (dog)
Lineage: Eukaryota; Metazoa; Chordata; Mammalia; Carnivora; Canidae
Exons: 2
Source: RefSeq, a predicted model, not a curated record